UGUACCACCUUGUCGGGUAGCUUAUCAGACUGAUGUUGACUGUUGAAUCUCAUGGCAACAGCAGUCGAUGGGCUGUCUGACAUUUUGGUAUC
MicroRNA precursor from Bos indicus x Bos taurus (hybrid cattle), 92 nucleotides. Ensembl annotates it as microRNA 21. Its record names the gene MIR21. NCBI's taxonomy places the organism in Eukaryota, Metazoa, Chordata, Mammalia, Artiodactyla, Bovidae. The record is from Ensembl.